UCCUUUCCUCUGCUCCGCUGCCUCUGGUCUGAGCUCAACAUCAAUACAGCUGAUGUCACCACGAGAACAGAGAAGAAGCCUUUAUGUAAAGCAGCUCAUUGAACUGCAGCAUUUUUCCACGAUUACAACUUGAGCAGCGUCCUUGCCACAAAGUCACGGCGAUGGUCUCGACAGUCGACACCCAAAACAAACCCAACGGGACCCAUCAGGAUGGUGAAUGAAGAUGGACGACGUGUCUAACCACAGCUCGGCUUGGUGAUUUUCACAAAGCCUUCCACUGCUCUGCUGGUGCUGUGUCAAAUUUUUGUUUCCCCAACAAUUUGUGACCUGAUGGUGAACCACAGCUAAGCCUCACUUAUGCAGACUCUGCAGCCUCGGCUUCUCCAGUUAGUGUUAACAGCAGUUUGACAGCAUCAGACCUGGUUCCAGCUCGACAGGGACAAUGAAAACAAAUGAAAUCAGCGAAGUCGCCCUCCGGAAGAUGAACAGAGGGAGACAUUCAAAGAAACCGUGAUCUUUAACGAACUACUUAGUAUUAAUGGACACAACCUCGCCACCGGGCAGCCACAAGAAGAAAAGCUCCUCCCUGUGGUAUUGUUUGUCUGUUGUCCAGCCUCCAGCCUGCCCUGUCCGCUGCUCUCUCAACAAUCACAUUGACCGAGGGAUCGAUAGAAUCCUCCAGAGAGAAAAGACCAGACUGAAGCGCUGCCGUCGCUCCGUCCAGACGUGUGCACAAGGUGAUUGUGACAAGGUAAAGUUGUUCUCUCCGGAGGGGUCGAGGGACGAGGGGUGAGUAAUGCCACAGAGGAAGAAGAAGAAGAAGAAGACAGGAGUGGGACCAAAAGAAAACUAGAGCUGCUCUCUGGAGACGAGGAGAGGAAAUAUCAAAUGUGCAGCGAACAAAUGCAGAAUCUAUUUUCAUUGGCAAAGACCAAUGGACGCAUGACAUCACUGACUUUGUUAAUUGUUGGUCAAUUUCUGCAGGAAAGACGUCAGAGGACGCUCUGGACAUGUUUUCACUCAUCAUGACUUCUUUUCCAAACCAACCA
Non-coding RNA from Paralichthys olivaceus (Japanese flounder), 1049 nucleotides. The record is from RefSeq and is a predicted model, not a curated record. NCBI's taxonomy places the organism in Eukaryota, Metazoa, Chordata, Actinopteri, Pleuronectiformes, Paralichthyidae.